This 3500-nucleotide unclassified non-coding RNA is filed under the name Hevea brasiliensis (rubber tree). The record is from RNAcentral. Lineage: Eukaryota; Viridiplantae; Streptophyta; Magnoliopsida; Malpighiales; Euphorbiaceae.
UUUUUUUUUGUUCAGCAGGUGUAGUUUCUUGCAUCUAUGAUACUAAAUGUUUCUGAUUAAGUUGAUUGUUCAUGAAAGUUUAAUUUUAAGGAAAUCCAUCCCCUUCAGGUAGUAAAGUUAAAUUAAUGUGCAGUUUUUAAAGUUGAAAAACUUGAUGGCAGAUAAUUUGAAAAUUUCUGUACACUAGUUCAUUCUGUGCUAGCAUCAUCUUGGGCAGAUGAUUUUUGGCAUCCUACUGCAUUCAUACUGGAUAUUCUAAUAUUUAACUUGUGAAUACCUUGUAGCAUGUUAUGCCCUUUAUCCAAUACCAUUCCUUGCAGGGUUUCUGGCGUGGCAACGUCCCAGCUUUACUAAUGGUUAUGCCAUACACUGCCAUACAAUUUGCAGCGUUACACAAAUUGAAAACUUUUGCAGCUGGAUCUUCAAAGGCAGAGAAUCACAUUCAGUUAAGUCCUUACCUCUCUUAUGUCAGCGGGGCAUUAGCAGGGUGUGCUGCUACGAUUGGAUCAUACCCAUUUGAUCUUCUUAGAACCCUAUUGGCUUCACAGGGUGAACCAAAGGUAUAGAAUAUCAACAUGUCUAUGUGCAAUAAUACAUUUGGUUCAUGUUUCAAAUAACUUAAUUUUUUUAUAAGGUCUUUUAUGACAUGCAUGUACAGAAUUUUUAAUUGUUGCUCAUAUUAGUAAUGUGUAUCAUAGUUAUAAGUUUAUCUUAUCUUCGGUUGCAAGUCUAUCACGUUAUCAGUGAAUCGUUCAUGUGUUUUCUGAAUUCCGAUUACUCUUUAUACUUCGAUUCUAAAGAUGUUGCACAACAGCAUACUAGUCGGAAUUCAUGCCACUAAUGAAAGCAUUACAUCGUAUUUGCUCGUUUUGUGACUGUUUGAAACAUGUUAUGCUACCCAACAUGUUUGUCUUCUUCAUACUUGAUAUUCCUUGUCUCUUACCUUGUUUGUAAGCAUUUACAAAGAUAAAUUAAUUUAGUCUUUAAAAUUAAAUUUGAAGUGAGCUACCAUACGUUAUACAAAUGAGAAUAUCUUUUGGAACUACCUUGGAUCAUGAAACUUUCUUCCAUAUUUGUGCUUGUGUGGCAAUGUCCUACACUAGCACUUCUGCGUAAUAACUGUACCAAAGGCAAUCCUAUUACAGGCUAUCACACUGUACAUCUAGUGUGUUAAUUUUUGCAUUUGGAAGCAUAUAUGUUGCUCUUUAAGUUGGUGAGGAAUCCCAUUUAAGUUGGUCAUGUAGUCUUUGAUUCACAGUUUUUCUUGUGGUUUCAAAUUGCAUUUUUGUGAGUCUCAAUGACAAGGGAAGUCUACAUCUCAUUCCAUCCUGGUGGAGAACUACUUGGUUACAAAGUCUAGUUUGGUUCUAAUUAUCAUGCUUUUGGCAUUGGUUACCAUCAAGUAAGGCAAGCUUCUGCAUGGUGGAAAUUGGGGAGUGCUGCUUUUCCCCACAACCCCUUCUUCCAAAUCUUACUCACCCUGAAACUUGGGUAAAGGGCCUUGAUGGUAUUUGGGUCAUUUGUUUAGUCUUAUAUUGCUUUGAGUAUAUAUAUUAUAUAUAUUUGCCAGUUGCCACUCAACCCAUUUACUUGUUUUUUCUUUUAUUCUACGUUGCAUAUUGUUGCUUGACUAAUGAGUGUCCACAUUUAGGUCCAUCCAACAAUGAGAUAUGCAAUUGUUGAUACCAUUAAUUAGGACUCGUGACUUCAGAGGCUUAUAUGCUGGAUUAUCACCAACACUAGUCAAGAUUAGCACUUCUGUCGUGCAUGCAUGCUGGCAUGCGUUGCAUUACAUGGUCACUAUUUUGAAUAGUGACUGGGUCUCUAGUCGUUUCUUUGCUAAGUGACUAGACAAACGACUUGCAAGUCUUGUUUUUAAUCCCCAAUUUUGAGUUUGAAAAUUCAAACUCAGACUCCUUUGGUAAAUAAGUUUUCUGAUCCCCCUUUUGGUAAAUAAGUUUCUUAAAACACAAACUUUUGGGGAAAAAAAGCUCUUGAUUUGAUGCAUGAACUGCUUGGAAAACUUUGGUAACUAUCAACCUCGAAAUUUCAAGGGGAAUUGAGGUGUGAUUUUCACCUUUUUAUAUGAGAAGUUUUUAUGAUGCAGUAAGUGUCUAGGUUUCACGCCAUUAUCCGUUAAUGUUGACAACAUUUUUGUUUAACUGAUUUUUUGUUGGAUAGAUAGUUAUGGUCCUGUUUAGGUUCUUAUAUGAAAAAUUUCCUGCCAAAGAACUUUUAUUUGAGAGUUUAGGUGACAGUUAAUUCUUAGAUUCAGCUGAACGAUCAUGCCACUAAUAUAAUUUUCUAACAUGACUGGGCAAUAUAAAAUACGUUAGUGUUACAAUCAUACCCUGCCAAUAUCUGGAUUUUGUGAGCUCUUUUAUUUCUUCUUCUCCUGCACUCUACUGUGUUUUGUGUUAAUUUGCUAAAUUAUUGGUAUUCUUGGCAAAGACAGUAUGUUGAUGUGAAGUCUGAUAUUAUAAAUUGGAAGGAAAUUUACAAUUUGAAUGAAUAAUUAGAAAAAUCUUAAGUUGUCCAUUUCAUUUCCCAAUAACAUAAAAUAUGGAAUUUUUGGGUAGUCAUUGGCUUCUAGUACCUUUACAAGAGCCUUAGAUGCUCUAGAUCUUUUACUCUCAAGGACAUGUUUAAGUUUACUUUCCUUUUAUAUGUUUUUGCAUGAACCCCACAAGCAAGACUUGUGUUUCAACUCAUCAAUAUUAAGCUUCUUUUGGCAAUUGCUUAUCAAAUACAACCAUGAUGCUUUCCUACGAUACUGUUCAGUUUUCUUAGGAAACCUUUUAUUUAGAACCUCUGAUACUCUAUCUGGAGAAUCCCGCUUAUACUGCUGAGUACUUAUCUGGACCUGCAACAUAUAUUAGCCCAAACAAAAAUCAGCAUCUCAACAAACUGGUUUUGUCACUUGGAUAUAUUAAUUUGAAAAGUAUCAAUUAAUGCAGGCAUAUAUGAUUAGCUUUCCAAUUAUACAGUGUGCAUGAGUUGCGCUGUUUGUUGUUGAUUAUUAGUAACUAAGCAUGUUAUUUAAAUUCAAAACCAUAACUUAAUGCUAGAUAUCUAAUUUUGCAGUUCACGUUUUACUGUUAGGAACUUAGAAAAAUUUUUAAAGGGCAGAAUUAAUGAUAGCGUAUUUGAGGGCAACUUCCUUCAUCAUGUAAUGUGAAGCUGACAAUUUUCAUCCAAUUGGUUUGUUUUGUUUAUAUUGCAGCUGGACAGCAAUUACUCAAUUGGCGCAUCAUGGGAUGCUCUAUGUUCCCAUUGGGUACACUUUCGGAGCUGGAAUGUUUAGAAUGGAUUCCAUUAGGGGAGGGUCUCCAUAUGGUGCUGGAGUCUUUUCUGGAGACGGCUCGAGGCAGCCAACUGAAACAGAGUUGGCUCUUGCUGAGCAUCAGGGAAAAUAUAUGGCUACAGUAGUCAAGAGAUAUGCUAAGCCUUUCUCGCUGGUGUCUGGUAACAACCAUAGCUAGUGUUAAUGAAGCCAAGAU